AACAGGAUUAGAUACCCUGGUAGUCCACGCCGUAAACGAUGUCGACUUGGAGGUUGUGCCCUUGAGGCGUGGCUUCCGGAGCUAACGCGUUAGGUCGACCGCCUGGGGAGUACGGCCGCAAGGUUAAAACUCAAAUGAAUUGACGGGGACCCGCACAAGCGGUGGAGCAUGUGGUUUAAUUCGAUGCAACGCGAAGAACCUUACCUACUCUUGACAUCCAGAGAACUUAGCAGAGAUGCUUUGGUGCCUUCGGGAACUCUGAGACAGGUGCUGCAUGGCUGUCGUCAGCUCGUGUUGUGAAAUGUUGGGUUAAGUCCCGCAACGAGCGCAACCCUUAUCCUUUGUUGCCAGCGGUUAGGCCGGGAACUCAAAGGAGACUGCCAGUGAUAAACUGGAGGAAGGUGGGGAUGACGUCAAGUCAUCAUGGCUCUUACGAGUAGGGCUACACACGUGCUACAAUGGCGCAUACAAAGAGAAGCGACCUCGCGAGAGCAAGCGGACCUCAUAAAGUGCGUCGUAGUCCGGAUUGGAGUCUGCAACUCGACUCCAUGAAGUCGGAAUCGCUAGUAAUCGUGGAUCAGAAUGCCACGGUGAAUACGUUCCCGGGCCUUGUACACACCGCCCGUCACACCAUGGGAGUGGGUUGCAAAAGAAGUAGGUAGCUUAACCUUCGGGAGGGCGCUUACCACUUUGUGAUUCAUGACUGGGGUGAAGUCGUAACAAGGUAACC
This 730-nucleotide ribosomal RNA is filed under the name uncultured bacterium. Its description in RNAcentral is "bacterial SSU rRNA". It matches the Rfam family "Bacterial small subunit ribosomal RNA", at positions 771 to 1501 of the family's 1533-position model. The record is from RNAcentral.